AUUAUACUUCCUCCGUCCCAAAAUUCUUGUUUUAAGUUUGUUUAAAAAUAAAUGUAUCAAAAUAUUAAAAUAUGCUUAGAUACAUCCAUAUCUAUAUAAAUUUAAGACAAGAAUUUUGAAACGGGGAAGUAUAAA
Non-coding RNA from Hordeum vulgare subsp. vulgare (domesticated barley), 135 nucleotides. NCBI's taxonomy places the organism in Eukaryota, Viridiplantae, Streptophyta, Magnoliopsida, Poales, Poaceae. The record is from Rfam.